CCCUUAGAUGUUCUGGGCCGCACGCGCGCUACACUGAUGCAUUCAACGAGUUUCUUCCCGGUCCGAGAGGAAUGGGUAACCUUUUGAAAGUGCAUCGUGAUGGGGAUAGACUAUUGCAAUUAUUGGUCUUCAACGAGGAAUUCCUAGUAGACGUAGUUCAUCAGACUGCAUCGAUUACGUCCCUGCCCUUUGUACACACCGCCCGUCGCUCCUACCGAUUGAAUGCUCAGGUGAGCCAUUCGGACUUUCAUCAUGCUGGUUUCCAGUUUUGAUGAAGGAAAGUCUUGCGAACCUUAUCAUUUAGAGGAAGGAGAAGUCGUAACA
RNAcentral lists this ribosomal RNA (324 nucleotides) under uncultured eukaryote. Its description in RNAcentral is "partial 18S ribosomal RNA". It matches the Rfam family "Eukaryotic small subunit ribosomal RNA", at positions 1470 to 1796 of the family's 1831-position model. The record is from RNAcentral.